Molecule: transfer RNA, 66 nt
Filed under: Tettigonia chinensis
Lineage: Eukaryota; Metazoa; Arthropoda; Insecta; Orthoptera; Tettigoniidae
Description: tRNA-Met
Source: RNAcentral
AAAAAGUUAAGCUAAAUCUAAGCUAAUGGGUUCAUACCUCAUCUAUAGGAGGAUUCCUCCUUUUUA